ACGAACGCUGGCGGCGUGCUUAACACAUGCAAGUCGAACGGUGAAGCUCCAGCUUGCUGGAGUGGAUCAGUGGCGAACGGGUGAGUAACACGUGAGCAACCUGCCCCAGACUCUGGAAUAAGCGCUGGAAACGGCGUCUAAUACUGGAUACGAGAUCAAGCCGCAUGGUUAUGGUCUGGAAAGUUUUUCGGUUUGGGAUGGGCUCGCGGCCUAUCAGCUUGUUGGUGAGGUAAUGGCUCACCAAGGCGACGACGGGUAGCCGGCCUGAGAGGGCGACCGGCCACACUGGGACUGAGACACGGCCCAGACUCCUACGGGAGGCAGCAGUGGGGAAUAUUGCACAAUGGGCGAAAGCCUGAUGCAGCGACGCCGCGUGAGGGAUGACGGCCUUCGGGUUGUAAACCUCUUUCAGCAGGGAAGAAGCGAAAGUGACGGUACCUGCAGAAGAAGCACCGGCUAACUACGU
This 466-nucleotide ribosomal RNA is filed under the name uncultured bacterium. RNAcentral's name for it is "partial 16S ribosomal RNA". It matches the Rfam family "Bacterial small subunit ribosomal RNA", at positions 29 to 506 of the family's 1533-position model. The record is from RNAcentral.